CAGCUACAUGGCCCACCCAUGAGUUAUCUCACAGGAAGUGGAGUGUAUGUGUGUAGAGGAUGCAAUGUGUGUGUGUUCUUAUAGAGUGUAGUGUAUAGGGAUACCAAUUUCUGUAAGGGAUGUAGUGUGUUUAUAGGGGAUGCAGUGUGUGUUUGCUUGUAAGGAAUGCAUUGUAUGUUUCUGGGUGUGUGUGUGUAAGGGGUGCAAGGUGUGUUUCUGUGUUUUUAAUUGAAUGCAGUGUGUGUCUGUAAGGGGUGCAUUGAUUGUGUAAGAGAUGCAUUUUGUUUCUGUGUGUAAGAGAAUGAGUGUUUGUGUGAGCGUAAGGGAUGCAUUGUGUGUUUAGGGUGUGAGUAGGAAUGCAUUGUAUGUUUCUGUGUGUGUGUGGG
Molecule: non-coding RNA, 386 nt
Organism: Pelobates cultripes (western spadefoot toad)
Lineage: Eukaryota; Metazoa; Chordata; Amphibia; Anura; Pelobatidae
Source: the annotation of a GenBank genome assembly